Molecule: ribosomal RNA, 498 nt
Filed under: uncultured bacterium
Lineage: Bacteria
Description: partial 16S ribosomal RNA
Rfam family: Bacterial small subunit ribosomal RNA
Source: RNAcentral
AUUGAACGCUGGCGGCAUGCCUUACACAUGCAAGUCGAACGGUAACGGGCCUUCGGGUGCCGACGAGUGGCGAACGGGUGAGUAAUACAUCGGAACGUGCCCGAUCGUGGGGGAUAACGAGGCGAAAGCUUUACUAAUACCGCAUACGAUCUACGGAUGAAAGCAGGGGACCGCAAGGCCCUGCGCGGACGGAGCGGCCGAUGGCAGAUUAGGUAGUUGGUGGGAUAAAAGCUUACCAAGCCGACGAUCUGUAGCUGGUCUGAGAGGAUGAUCAGCCACACUGGGACUGAGACACGGCCCAGACUCCUACGGGAGGCAGCAGUGGGGGAUUUUGGGCAAUGGGCGCAAGCCUGAUCCAGCCAUGCCGCGUGCAGGAUGAAGGCCUUCGGGUUGUAAACUGCUUUUGUACAGAACGAAAAGCCUUCUUCUAAUACAGGAGGGUCAUGACGGUACCGUAAGAAUAAGCACCGGCUAACUACGUGCCAGCCGCCGCGGUAA